RNAcentral lists this ribosomal RNA (484 nucleotides) under uncultured bacterium. Its description in RNAcentral is "bacterial SSU rRNA". It matches the Rfam family "Bacterial small subunit ribosomal RNA", at positions 30 to 507 of the family's 1533-position model. The record is from RNAcentral.
AUUGAACGCUGGCGGCAUGCCUUACACAUGCAAGUCGAACGGCAGCACGGACUUCGGUCUGGUGGCGAGUGGCGAACGGGUGAGUAAUGUAUCGGAACGUACCUUUCAGUGGGGGAUAACGUAGCGAAAGUUACGCUAAUACCGCAUAUUCUGUGAGCAGGAAAGCAGGGGAUCGCAAGACCUUGCGCUGAUUGAGCGGCCGAUAUCAGAUUAGCUAGUUGGUGGGGUAAAGGCCUACCAAGGCUACGAUCUGUAGCGGGUCUGAGAGGAUGAUCCGCCACACUGGAACUGAGACACGGUCCAGACUCCUACGGGAGGCAGCAGUGGGGAAUUUUGGACAAUGGGGGCAACCCUGAUCCAGCCAUGCCGCGUGAGUGAAGAAGGCCUUCGGGUUGUAAAGCUCUUUCAGCCGGGAAGAAAUCGCAUCAGCUAAUACCUGGUGUGGAUGACGGUACCGGAAUAAGAAGCACCGGCUAACUACGUG